UACAGGGGGUGCAAACGUUGCUCGGAAUUAUUGGGCGUAAAGCGCGCGUAGGCGGCCGUUUAAGUCGGAUGUGAAAGCCCCUGGCUCAACUGGGGAAGUGCACCCGAAACUGAAUGGCUUGAGUACUAAAGAGGGUCGCGGAAUUCCCGGUGUAGAGGUGAAAUUCGUAGAUAUCGGGAGGAACACCGGUGGCGAAGGCGGCGACCUGGGUAGAUACUGACGCUGAGGCGCGAAAGCGUGGGGAGCGAACAGG
This 253-nucleotide ribosomal RNA is filed under the name uncultured bacterium. RNAcentral describes it as "partial 16S ribosomal RNA". It matches the Rfam family "Bacterial small subunit ribosomal RNA", at positions 524 to 776 of the family's 1533-position model. The record is from RNAcentral.